GUAAGACGUUUAAGAAGCCCCGCCGUCCGUACGAGAAGGAGCGUCUAGACGCGGAGCUGAAGCUGGUGGGGGAGUACGGGCUGCGGUGCAAGAGGGAGCUGUGGAGGGUGCAGUACGCGCUCAGCCGCAUCCGCAACAACGCGCGGAAUCUCCUUACCCUCGACGAGAAGAACCCGCGCCGGAUCUUCGAGGGCGAGGCUCUUCUCCGCAGAAUGUUCCGCUACGGACUCCUCGACGAGACUCAGAACAAGCUCGAUUACGUCCUCGCCCUCACCGUCGAGAAUUUCCUCGAGCGCCGCCUUCAGACGCUCGUCUUCAAAUCCGGGAUGGCCAAGUCCAUUCACCACGCCAGGGUUCUCAUCAAGCAGAG
RNAcentral lists this long non-coding RNA (370 nucleotides) under Glycine max (soybean). RNAcentral's name for it is "long non-coding RNA (GMAX_LNC000865)". The record is from RNAcentral. Lineage: Eukaryota; Viridiplantae; Streptophyta; Magnoliopsida; Fabales; Fabaceae.